RNAcentral lists this ribosomal RNA (909 nucleotides) under uncultured archaeon. RNAcentral's name for it is "bacterial SSU rRNA". It matches the Rfam family "Archaeal small subunit ribosomal RNA", at positions 1 to 917 of the family's 1478-position model. The record is from RNAcentral.
UUCCGGUUGAUCCUGCCAGACCUGACUGCUAUCGGAUUGAUACUAAGCCAUGCGAGUCUUUGCAGUAAUGCAAGGCAUACGGCUCAGUAACACGUAGUCAACUUACCCUAUGGACGAGGAUAAUCUCGGGAAACUGAGCAUAAUACUCGAUAGAUCAUAAUGCCUGGAAUGGUUUAUGGUUGAAAUGAUUCGUCGCCAUAGGAUGGGACUGCGGCCUAUCAGCUUGUUGGUGAGGUAAUGGCCCACCAAGGCGAUUACAGGUACGGGCUCUGAGAGGAGAAGCCCGGAGAUGGGUACUGAGACAAGGACCCAGGCCCUAUGGGGCGCAGCAGGCGAGAAAACUUUGCAAUGUGCGAAAGCACGACAAGGUUAAUCCGAGUGAUUUCUGCUAAAGAAAUCUUUUGCAAGUCAUAAAACCACUAGUGAAUAAGGGGUGGGCAAGUUCUGGUGUCAGCCGCCGCGGUAAAACCAGCACCUCAAGUGGUCAGGAGGAUUAUUGGGCCUAAAGCAUCCGUAGCCGGCUCUGUAAGUUUUCGGUUAAAUCCAUGUGCUCAACACAUGGGCUGCCGAAAAUACUGCAUAGCUAGGGAGUGGGAGAGGUAGACGGUACUCGGUAGGAAGGGGUAAAAUCCUUUGAUCUAUCGAUGACCACCUGUGGCGAAGGCGGUCUACCAGAACACGUUCGACGGUGAGGGAUGAAAGCUGGGGGAGCAAACCGGAUUAGAUACCCGGGUAGUCCCAGCUGUAAACGAUGCAGACUCGAUGAUGCAUUGGCAUAUAGCCAGUGCAGUGUCGCAGGGAAGCCGUUAAGUCUGCCGCCUGGGAAGUACGUACGCAAGUAUGAAACUUAAAGGAAUUGGCGGGGGAGCACCACAAGGGGUGAAGCCUGCGGUUCAAUUGGAGUCAACA